GCGUAGGGUACGUAGGCGGAUAAUCAAAAAUAUAGUAAAAGACUGAGGAUAACCCUCUUUAAGCUAUGUUCACUAAUUAUUUGAGUUUUGGGGGCGAUCAAAUGAAUCCUUUAAGUAAGGGUUAAAUUGUUGAUAUUAGGAGACGUUCGAAGGCGAAAGCAAUGAUCGACUCAAAUCUGACGUUAGGUACUAAAGCAUGGGUAUGAAAAGGAUUAGAGACCUUGUAGUCCAUGCUGUAAACCAUGAGUGUUCAACGUCCUUGUGUGCUAUGUCUUAUAAAUUUAUAACAUAAAACACAGAAGGGGGUUUGAAGCUAACGCGUGAAACACCGCCUGGGAAAUGUGGCCGCAAGGUUAAACUCAAAGGAAUUGACGGAGACUUAUACAAGG
RNAcentral lists this ribosomal RNA (389 nucleotides) under Didymium eximium. RNAcentral describes it as "SSU rRNA". It matches the Rfam family "Bacterial small subunit ribosomal RNA", at positions 558 to 930 of the family's 1533-position model. The record is from RNAcentral. Lineage: Eukaryota; Evosea; Eumycetozoa; Physariida; Didymiaceae.